UACGUAGGGUGCGAGCGUUAAUCGGAAUUACUGGGCGUAAAGGGCACGCAGGCGGUUUUUUAAGUCAGAUGUGAAAGGUACCGGCUCAACCGGUGACAUGCAUUUGAAACUGAAAGACUUGAGUAUUGGAGAGGCAAGUGGAAUUCCUAGUGUAGCGGUGAAAUGCGUAGAUAUUAGGAGGAACACCGGUGGCGAAGGCGGCUUGCUGGACAAAUACUGACGCUGAGGUGCGAAAGCGUGGGGAGCAAACAGG
Molecule: ribosomal RNA, 253 nt
Filed under: uncultured bacterium
Lineage: Bacteria
Description: partial 16S ribosomal RNA
Rfam family: Bacterial small subunit ribosomal RNA
Source: RNAcentral